AGAAUCAACGCUGGCGGCGUGCCUAACACAUGCAAGUCGCACGAGAAAGGGGAGCAAUCCCUGAGUAAAGUGGCGCACGGGUGAGUAACACGUGAAUAAUCUACCUCCGAGUGGGGAAUAACUGAGAGAAAUCUUAGCUAAUACCGCAUAACACUUACGAGUCAAAGCAGCAAUGCGCUUGGAGAGGAGUUCGCGGCCGAUUAGUUAGUUGGCGGGGGUAAUGGCCCACCAAGACGAUGAUCGGUA
Molecule: ribosomal RNA, 246 nt
Filed under: uncultured bacterium
Lineage: Bacteria
Description: partial small subunit ribosomal RNA
Rfam family: Bacterial small subunit ribosomal RNA
Source: RNAcentral